Molecule: long non-coding RNA, 1402 nt
Filed under: Meriones unguiculatus (Mongolian gerbil)
Lineage: Eukaryota; Metazoa; Chordata; Mammalia; Rodentia; Muridae
Description: lncRNA (ENSMUGG00000007151.1)
Source: RNAcentral
GCUUUUGGCUCAAGAUCUUCCCCCUUUCAGAUGAUUCUCAUACUCUGGCAGGUUUGGACAAAAAACCACAGCUCUAAGACCACACAGUAGCUUCCUGGUCCUUCCAGAGCCCCCGCGGUUGACCCUGGGAGUUUGGGGUCCAGGCGCCAGCGGGGCGGGCCAGGUGUGCAGAGGGCGGCGCCGCUGCAGCCCUGCCCAGGGGCGGAGCUCACCUGAGGAUCAGGUAGGCAGCUCCCGGGCAACCCGGCCGCCGGGGAAGCCUGGGCGCGCAGCAGCCGCGGCCUCGCUAGGGCUCCAGGGACGCGGGCAGGGACUGCGGCCCGCCCCACGCCCGGCCGUGGAGCAGCCAGGACGCCAGCUCACCAUGGGGAGACGCCUCAAGUUUCUGCAGAAACUGCCCUUCCUGGGCCAGGACCAUCGGUACAAGCUGCUGGAGAGAGACGAGGUGGAGACCCUGAUCGGCGAGCAGUGCGAGCUGAAAGCCAUCGACAGAGAAAAGACAGUCGCAGCCCUGCCGCCCAGGGAGGCGUGUAAAUGCAGCAAAGAGGACUUGGCCAGAGCCUUCCACGUAGACCUGGACAGAGGCCUGUCGGAGUUCGCAGUGGCCCAGCGUAGGCUGGUCCACGGCUGGAAUGAGUUUGUCACUGAUAACACUGAGCCGGUGUGGAAGAAAUACCUGGAUCAGUUCAGCAGCCCCCUGAUCCUGCUGCUGCUGGGCUCUGCCGUGGUGAGCGUCCUCACCAAAGAGUACGAAGAUGCCAUCAGCAUCGCACUGGCCGUGCUCAUCGUGGUGACUGUCGGCUUCAUCCAGGAAUACAGGUCGGAGAAGUCUCUGGAAGAGCUGACCAAGCUGGUGCCUCCAGAGUGCAACUGCCUGAGGGAAGGCAAGCUGCAGCACCUGCUCGCACGAGACCUGGUCCCAGGAGACAUCGUCUCCCUGUCCACGGGAGACCGGAUCCCCGCUGACAUCCGUCUCAUUGAGGUCACAGACCUCCUGGUGGAUGAAUCCAGUUUCACCGGAGAAGUGGAGCCAUGCAGCAAAACUGACAGCGCAUUGCCAGGCGGUGGGGGCCUCGGCACCCUGAGCAACGUGGUCUUCAUGGGGACACUGGUGCAGUGUGGCAAGGGUCAGGGAGUUGUGAUCGGAACCGGGGAGCAGUCUCAGUUCGGAGAAGUGUUCAAGAUGAUGCAGGCGGAAGAGACCCCUAAAACUCCACUACAGAAGAGUAUGGACAAGCUGGGCAAGCAGCUGACAAUCUUCUCUUUUUGCAUCAUCGGUCUCCUGAUGCUGGUUGGCUGGGUGCAAGGGAAACCCCUUCUCAGCAUGUUCACCAUUGGGGUCAGGUAUGUUAUCGAGGCUCCUGGACCCCCUCCCUGGCAGAGAGGGUGGCACGCUGCAUGA